GCUGUGUUGCCCCUCUCCAGGCCACCCUCCUCACAAUGGGGGCUGCUGGUACUUCAUUCAUCUUCCUGGGAGGUUAGAUGUCCCUAUGGAACAUGUCCAUGGAAUUUUGGGUGACUGGCUGAACAAUCAACUCCAUCUGUUCUGUAUGUUUCUUCUGGCAGUGAGACAUCAACUUCCAAUCCUUCGCUGUCAGGACCUAGGGCAUGGAGAACCCCAAGACUCUCCCACUUUGUGGUUUAUGGACUUAACAAUCUGACAAAGUGUGGCAAUGGAGCAGAUAAAACAAUGUCAGGUAACUAGAAUUGAAUAUGUAGCUGCUAAAUGUAAGGGUGCUAAUUCAUAUGUGGGUAAAAUGGGAGACAGAAGUCCAAGUCAACGAGCAUCUGUUCAAAUACUUUGACCUCUGACCCACCUGUCUGGACUCAUUUGGCUCUCACUUCUUCUAACUGAAGGGAAUCAUCGCCCUGAGGCACCCUCCAGCUUGACAAACAUUAUUCUAAAUAAUUUGAGAAAGACCAUAAAUGCUUCCAUAGCAA
Molecule: long non-coding RNA, 536 nt
Organism: Herpailurus yagouaroundi (jaguarundi)
Lineage: Eukaryota; Metazoa; Chordata; Mammalia; Carnivora; Felidae
Exons: 3
Source: RefSeq, a predicted model, not a curated record